Bombyx mori (domestic silkworm) is the source of this 1917-nucleotide long non-coding RNA. RefSeq lists it as uncharacterized. Lineage: Eukaryota; Metazoa; Arthropoda; Insecta; Lepidoptera; Bombycidae. The transcript is spliced from 4 exons. The record is from RefSeq and is a predicted model, not a curated record.
UCUAGAUGACAGCGCUAGUAGCCGCGGCUGGAGGAAGUGUUGUCUGUAUUAUAAAUAGCACACAUUAUUGACGAAAACUAAUCUAGUACGGUAAUAGGUACGAUGUGUAUAAAUGCGACAAGUUGACCUCUGUCCGAGUGCAGAUAGUGAAAUAGGACGCAGUAAUAAGGGACGUUCCGCUUCAUACAUCUUCCGGGGAUGAUGCCACAGUGUAUUCAGUUUAGAGUAACUAUGUUUUAGUAUUGCUGUGUUACCCUCAACCCAUCGCUAUUCUCACAUGGUAAAGUAGAUGUGAUCGAAGCUGAUGCCCAAUUCUCAAGCAAGCACUAGUGGUUUGUCCAAACAAAUAAGACAACUGUACAAUUCAUUAAUAAAAGAGAAGAGAAGUAAUUCCGAAGCGAGACAAUAAAUUAACACAGGGAACCAACGAGCCACAGAACAUACAAUACAAAGAUAUUUGCAUCGGGAAUAUGAAAACGUCCGGAAAAAUGUGAAUAUAUGGUUAAAUCCGGAAAAUUCCUAUCUCUGAGUCUACAAAGUUAAAAUAUCGAGAAAAAAGUGGUCUGCUUUUUAAAUCGUCAACGAUAUACGAUAAUAACGCGGUCCAACAAGCAUUCUGCUGUGGCUCCACGCUAUAACUCAAUUCUGUUAACGUAUGCUGAAUCACAUGGACUCCUGCUGUAAAAUAGCUUGAGCGAUGCAUCGUUGCCGAGCCGAGGGCCGGAGUCGGGUGAUACUUCUGUAGAAGGUCGAAGCCAAGCGGCACACUAUCAACACUAUAGCGCGUCGCCGCAUAACACUUUGUUGUGUGAAUUGUGGGAUCCAACCCUACCCACCCUAAGCCGAGAUCCGUCUGGAGCGGGGAUCGGACAUCGAGAUGGUUGGGGCUCAUGAUCCACGGGGCUCAGUUGGUAGUCAUCUUGCACAUAGCCCCGCCUGAUCCCCAUGGACCAGUUAGGUAUCUGUAAAUUUCAUUCCUCAAGGUAAAAUGUACGACAAAAGUUUUCCUAGACUAACAGUACCAAGUCUUUUCAAUGACUUAGAAUUCCAUGUAGCAUAAACACGUAGACAUUCAUUUUCAAUGCCUGUAUAGAUGAUACCGCCACCGCCGGAGUCCGUCAGGGAUGUAUUAUUUCUCCACUAUUGUUCAAUGUGUACACAGAGCUCAUAUAGAGAAUUAUACUUGAAGACUGGACAGAUGGCAUCUCGAUCGGUGGCUUGAAGCUCUCCCACCACUUCCCCAGCCCAUGGAAGAACUUCUCGGCAAGAUGGAACGCGUGAGCCUUGAGUUCGAAUUUAAAAUAAACCGGAAUAAACAAAAAAAAUGAUUGUCGACCGCAUGAAUAAUUCUGCGGAAACUAUAUAAAAUUGCUAGUUGUGAUGUGGUGCAAUCGUAUAUUACAUUUAUCUGGGAAAUUUAAUUACGAACAACGGUGGAUAUAUCGAAGAAGUAAAGAGGCGUAUGGCAUUUUCUGGGUCUGCAACAGACAGAUUAAGGAAAAUAUGGAAGAUGUUGCAACAUAUUAUAUAGAGCCAGAAGAUAGACGCCCUGGAGAUGUGGUGCUGGAGGUAAUAAUGCUCGGAGUUUCGUUGACUGAAAUUCAUACCAACGAGUCUUUACUUCGAGAACUCGGUAUCAAGCAGCAUAUAUCAUCUUUGGUACAGUCUCGUAUUCUCAACUUUUUUGGUCACGAAUAAGAUUGCCUAUGAGGUGGACUGACCAGAUAAAAGCGGCAGUUAAGUGGCUCACCAUCAUUACACGAAUGCACGGUGAGGGCGGUCGGCAGAAAGGAGUGGUAGCAUGUUGUGAAGCUUGCCACCAACGCCUGAAGUGAUGAUAACGACUAUUAUUUCAAGCUAUACCGACUAGGAAGAAGAAGAAGAAGGAAGAUAGAAAAAAAAAUUGAAGAGAAAAGU